UGGGGAAUAUUGGACAAUGGGGGCAACCCUGAUCCAGCCAUGCCGCGUGAGUGAUGAAGGCCUUCGGGUUGUAAAGCUCUUUUGGCGGGGACGAUGAUGACGGUACCCGCAGAAUAAGCCCCGGCUAACUUCGUGCCAGCAGCCGCGGUAAGACGAAGGGGGCAAGCGUUGUCCGGAUUUACUGGGUGUAAAGGGCGCGCAGGCGGGAUAAAAAGUCAGUGGUGAAAUCCUACAGCUUAACUGUAGAACUGCCUUUGAUACUUUUAUCCUUGAGUUCGGGAGAGAGAGACGGAAUUCCAGGUGUAGUGGUGAAAUACGUAGAUAUCUGGAAGAACACCAGUUGCGAAGGCGGUCUCUUGGUCCGACACUGACGCUGAGGCGCGAAAGCGUGGGGAGCAAAC
Molecule: ribosomal RNA, 401 nt
Filed under: uncultured bacterium
Lineage: Bacteria
Description: bacterial SSU rRNA
Rfam family: Bacterial small subunit ribosomal RNA
Source: RNAcentral